UAUCCUACCCUACUUGCUCAUA
This 22-nucleotide non-coding RNA is filed under the name Arabidopsis thaliana (thale cress). Lineage: Eukaryota; Viridiplantae; Streptophyta; Magnoliopsida; Brassicales; Brassicaceae. The record is from RNAcentral.